Non-coding RNA from Paramuricea clavata, 73 nucleotides. The record is from the annotation of a GenBank genome assembly. Lineage: Eukaryota; Metazoa; Cnidaria; Anthozoa; Malacalcyonacea; Plexauridae.
UACCGCGUAGCUCAGUUGGAAGAGCAUUGGGCUAGUAUUCCAAAGGUCGUAGGUUCAAAUCCCACCGUGGCCG